AGACAAGCGUGUCCGUAGUAUGUUGCUCGCCGUAUCAAUGUCCAUUUCUUGUUCUUUUCAUCUCACGUGGUUUUCGUAAUUGCCAAUUUUUUAAUUGAUUAUGGUGGUGAAAUUUGGCUUGCUAUCACUAUUGCUGUUUUGCUGCUUUAAAUCGUAAUAAAUGAAAAGAAUUACUAAUGCCAAUAGGUUGGUUGGUUGAGGGCUGAUGACCAGACGAUUUGAACCUUGAACGUACGUGGCGUACAAUCCCCGUGUGUCAGUGAAUCAUGAUGAUUCACGCACAUGGGGACCUGCAGAUCCGCCAACUCGAGGAAUCCGAUCAAGGAUGUGUCAGUUCAGUUGAAUGUAACAGAUCAACACAGCCGUGAUGAAGAAGCAAAUCAAGUUCAGGUGCCCCCGGAUAUUGUCGACGAUCGAAUUACGGGUGACGUCAUUGACAACGAAGGCGACAACGUGACGCUGACGUGCAUAGCCAAGGGCAAACUUAAUCCGAGGGGCGUCGUGAAGACAACCAAAAAGAGUCGUAGUGGAACGAAGAUAUUCAAAAAAUGGCAGUAAAUCAGAUGGAACAACAUCCAUUAAGCCUAUUGUUGUUCCAGAACUGCAGACUUUUACAACUAACUUCAACGACCUACGAUAGUGAAGACGAGGGAACGAUUCAAAGUUUUAUUAUUCAAGAAGUGGACGCUUGUGAUGGUGAAACAUUAAGACUAUACCGCGUGACAAGUCACAUGAAGACGUCUUACCCGCAGUCAGCAAACGUGUGCAGCUCACCGUUAACUUUCCACCCGUGGUGACGUCGUCGAUGGGCGUGGUGGCUGUUCUGCUAAACACCGAUGUCCGUCUGACAUGCCGAGAAUCAGUUACUGGAUGAAGGGAAGUCAACAAGCACAACACAAUACAAUUUGUGUCAAGCCCCAAGUACAACAUCGACGACGGUGAAAGAGGUGGGUCUUCCACCUAUACAAGACGAGUAUGUCGUUGAUCAUCCACAACUUCCAUGUUUAACAGCCCUCUCGCUGGACAGUAUUUUGAGUGUAAAAAAUUAUCAAACAGAAGUGACCAGACCGGUGAGCGGAUCCACACCCAACAGCUGUCUGACAGUUUCGUUUGACAGCAACAUCGCCAUGGAAGAUGGGCAAAGUUGGUGCAUACUUCAUAGAAAGGACGAAGACUCUAGUGGGGAACGAAUGUGAUUGGCAUGACAGAUGAAGACAGCCAUCAGUCAAUUUAGAAUGUUGUCGAGACUAUUUAGAUACCCCAACAGACUUAAUGUGCAGCAAAGUGACACAUUCCGUGGGAGUGUUUGAGCGGAAGUAGUCCAAUCCGGGGGAGGGUUUGUAUAAUCGAGCGACUCGUAAAUAGAAUAACGUUCUGCUGUGGUUCGAACUUUUCAAUUUUGCUCGAUUUCUCUGUAGAAAUAAAUGACGGAUUCAUUUCAA
Molecule: RNA transcript, 1442 nt
Organism: Daphnia magna
Lineage: Eukaryota; Metazoa; Arthropoda; Branchiopoda; Diplostraca; Daphniidae
Exons: 6
Source: RefSeq, a predicted model, not a curated record